UCGAGUUCAACUUCAAGUGAAACUGCGAACGGCUCAUUAGAGCAGAUGUCAUUUAUUCGGAAAGACGAAUUGGAUAACUGCGGUAAUUCUGGAGCUAAUACAUGCGAUAAAACCCUGACUUUUGAAAGGGUGCAGUUAUUAGAGCAAAUCAAUCAUCUACGGAUGUAGUUUGCUGACUCUGAAUAACGCAGCAUAUCGGCGGCUUGUUCGCCGAUAUUCCGAAAAAGUGUCUGCCCUAUCAACCUGAUGGUAGUCUAUUAGUCUACCAUGGUUAUUACGGGUAACGGAGAAUAAGGGUUCGACUCCGGAGAGGGAGCCUUAGAAACGGCUACCACAUCCAAGGAAGGCAGCAGGCGCGAAACUUAUCCAAUCUUGAAUAGAUGAGAUAGUGACUAAAAAUAAAAAGACCAUUCCUAUGGAACGGUCAUUUCAAUGAGUUGAUCAUAAACCUUUUUUCGAGUAUCAAGUGGAG
Molecule: ribosomal RNA, 472 nt
Filed under: Nematoda sp. Fontanilla D17-D1
Lineage: Eukaryota; Metazoa; Nematoda
Description: SSU rRNA
Rfam family: Eukaryotic small subunit ribosomal RNA
Source: RNAcentral